UGGGGGAAUUUUGGACAAUGGGGGCAACCCUGAUCCAGCAAUGCCGCGUGUGUGAAGAAGGCCUUCGGGUUGUAAAGCACUUUUGUCCGGAAAGAAAACGUCGUGGUUAAUACCCGUGGCGGCUGACGGUACCGGAAGAAUAAGCACCGGCUAACUACGUGCCAGCAGCCGCGGUAAUACGUAGGGUGCAAGCGUUAAUCGGAAUUACUGGGCGUAAAGCGUGCGCAGGCGGUCCGCUAAGACAGAUGUGAAAUCCCCGGGCUUAACCUGGGAACUGCAUUUGUGACUGGCGGGCUAGAGUAUGGCAGAGGGGGGUAGAAUUCCACGUGUAGCAGUGAAAUGCGUAGAGAUGUGGAGGAAUACCGAUGGCGAAGGCAGCCCCCUGGGCCAAUACUGACGCUCAUGCACGAAAGCGUGGGGAGCAAACAGGAUUAGAUACCUUGGUAGUCCACGCCCUAAACGAUGUCAACUAGUUGUCGGGUCUUCAUUGACUUGGUAACGUAGCUAACGCAGUGAAGUUGACCGCCUGGGGAGUACGGUCGCAAGAUUAAAACUUAAA
This 559-nucleotide ribosomal RNA is filed under the name uncultured bacterium. RNAcentral's name for it is "partial 16S ribosomal RNA". It matches the Rfam family "Bacterial small subunit ribosomal RNA", at positions 354 to 905 of the family's 1533-position model. The record is from RNAcentral.